RNAcentral lists this small nucleolar RNA (214 nucleotides) under Nelumbo nucifera (sacred lotus). Its description in RNAcentral is "Plant small nucleolar RNA U3". It matches the Rfam family "Plant small nucleolar RNA U3". From Rfam's summary of the family: Small nucleolar RNAs (snoRNAs) are involved in the processing and modification of rRNA in the nucleolus. There are two main classes of snoRNAs: the box C/D class, and the box H/ACA class. U3 snoRNA is a member of the box C/D class. The record is from Rfam by way of RNAcentral. Lineage: Eukaryota; Viridiplantae; Streptophyta; Magnoliopsida; Proteales; Nelumbonaceae.
ACGACCUUACUUGAACAGGAUCUGUUCUAUAGGUUCGUACCUCUGUAUCCUUGAGUUCUAAGGAGACAGGAAUCAAAGUCUGGUGGAUGAAAUCGGACCGUGUAAGAUCAGAGCGUGAUUAAUUGCCUUAGGAUCUCAGGAUUCGAGUUUCCACGGGCUGUAGAGGAUCGUUCUCAGCCUUGGCUGGGAUGGUCGCACGGUUGUCUGACAGAUU